Scatophagus argus is the source of this 876-nucleotide long non-coding RNA. RefSeq lists it as uncharacterized. Lineage: Eukaryota; Metazoa; Chordata; Actinopteri; Scatophagidae. The transcript is spliced from 4 exons. The record is from RefSeq and is a predicted model, not a curated record.
UCUCACAAGCAAACAUGUGGCGCAGGAGCAACGUCCCGCCUACGAGGAACCUGGAUUGGACAAGACCCUAAAUCACAUGUUCACCGAUCAAUACCCGACGUCAGCUGCGUCACACAGUCAGCUUUGAUGUAUGCAUGAGGGAGGAUUUCCUGAAGACCAAAGAGGCCAUUACCCAGGGGCCAUUAGGCCUCUAGUAGAGCAUGUCGAUGAGUGCUGAGUCUUGCUCUGUUUUCACAUGCAGCCACUUUACUACGUGGGAAUGACUAAGAGUGGGGGGAGUGAGUCAUCAUCAUCAGGAUGAAAUGCUCUGACAUUUGAGCAUGAAAGUCCCAGAGUGCCUUGCGGCCCAACAUCGCUGGCGAUUGCAGAACGCCCUGAGGCAUCCUAUCCAUCCAGAGAGACAUCUCUACCUCCUGAUGUUGUGUUUGCACAGAUGAACCUCAUCUCUGCUCUGGACAGCUCUUUCCAUUUGAGAAAAAUACAUAUUUGUGCAUUAACUUCAAAAAUUAAACUUCAUUUAUCUUUCUCCUGGUCCCAUGAGCCAGGUAAACUGAGACAAGUUUGCUAAAUGUAUGUAUGAAUGGAGGGAGAAAACAAUUGGCGGCUGUGAGUCAGCAGAAUUGGUCAGUGUGAGUCAGGCAACCUACAUCACUCUGCCGGUGUCUGUUGUCAUCAUUAAUGUCAAUAAAUUAAUGUGUGAGAGUAGCCAUCAAUUAAGGUUAUUUUCCUUCGCAUAGGAAAUGAUAAUAAAUCAAAACAUGACUGUCUGGCUUCUCUGCCACAGAUUUGUUUGGACAAGGUGGAUGGCAGGCAGUUAGUUGCUCAAUAUGUCUCAAGAAUUAGUAGCUCUGGGGAAUAAAAGCAGAUUUUCUUCCA